GCCACGGGCUCGGGGGACCUGCUGAGCUGGAGGAGGAAGUAACUCACCCCGGAAAUGCUAACAAGAGAGAAUCCUUGGAGGUGGCACUCUGAGUCAGGCAGGCCUACACACUGCUUGGAAGGAGAGGCAUACACAGUGAGGCCUGACCCCAAUUUCACAGGAGUUGGGUAGGAAUUCACAAGCAGAUAUGCCCUGGCAUGACAGGCUAGUCCCAGUUUCUGCAAAGAGCUUCCGUGACUCAGGCGCACUCAAGGAGAUGUUGAGACAGACCCUGGAGGAUACUUGGCAAACCUGUGUUUGGAGAUGGAACUGAGUAUGUUUAUGUUGUCUCAGCCCCUACAAAUGUGUCUCCUCUCUCCUGAAGGGCGGUACGUGGAGCACAUGUGUGCCUGCUUUCAGAAAUGGCCAAAAAGACUCACCUUCCCACACGUGAUUUGCCUGUUCCUGCCGUUGACAUGAGGUCCUGCACCUUGUGAGGCUCCUCCUCAAUGGGCAGCAGGAAGACAUAUGCAGAGAUCACAUGGGGACAGAGCAACCAAC
This is a long non-coding RNA of Jaculus jaculus (lesser Egyptian jerboa), 540 nucleotides long. RefSeq lists it as uncharacterized. Lineage: Eukaryota; Metazoa; Chordata; Mammalia; Rodentia; Dipodidae. The transcript is spliced from 5 exons. The record is from RefSeq and is a predicted model, not a curated record.